AGUUCAGUUCAGUUCAGUUAUUUCCCCUCGUUUUUCCCCACGGAAUUUUCCUCUUAUUUUCCUAUGUGUUUUGCGAUUAGUAGUCGUAUUUUUUUUUUGGGAAACCGGCUCUCUGAAAAGCGUUUUUUUCGUUCGUUUCUUUUGUGGUUCCAUCAUAAAACCAGAAACUUGAUUUAUAAUCACGUACGUGCGGCCAGCAGUAAAUCAAUAAAAACAAUAUUAACCGAUCGAAGAAAUACCCAAGCAAAUCAAUUAAUUUAUAUAUUGUACAAACCAAAUGCAGCCAAAGUGUUGAUCGAGUAAAACAAAACAAAAAUACAACAAAAAGACAGAAAAUCCAUCCACCAACAUGUAAGGCAAGGCAGGCAGCUCCGCAAAGUUGGCUUUUGCCCCCACCCCCCUCGCCUCCUCCAAAGAUGGCCGCCAGGAUGUGCAGCAGCAGCAGCAGCGUUUCCAUCGUCAUCAUUUAGCUGCAGCAGUCGCAGUCGCAGUCACAGCCGCAGCCGCAGCAGCAUCCAUGCAACAUGUCUUCAUACACAUAUACACACACAAAUGUAUAUUACCAACGCACACUCUCGCAUAGUCCACUCUUAAAGGUGGCGUUUCUCGGAACCUGAGUCAGAGUUAUUCCCGUGAUUUGGCAACAGAACCAACUGUGAGGAGCAUCCAACAAAAAGCAUUCGGCUGCUGUUUCCCAGAACCAACAACGAGACAGAGAGAGAGAGAG
Molecule: long non-coding RNA, 727 nt
Organism: Drosophila obscura
Lineage: Eukaryota; Metazoa; Arthropoda; Insecta; Diptera; Drosophilidae
Exons: 3
Source: RefSeq, a predicted model, not a curated record